AUCUUUUCAGGUCAGACAGUCCAUUCUUGACAUGCUAUAUCAGAAUUCUAAUCCUAAACAGAUCAUACAUGAUCAUUAAUCACUCUGUCUUUUCUCCCAACAGAAAAGACUGUAAACUUAAGACAACUACCAGGGCAAAAUGAAUUGAAGUUGCGUCUGAAAGACAACAUUCCGGUGAAAGACGCUCCACUGCAGCGACCUGUCACCGGAAACACUGGGAGGAAUUCACUUGAGUGCAGCAUUGAAGUUGUUCUGGAGAGAAUCCAUCUACACAACCAUUUUCUAAACAACAGUUAAACCUUCCUGGGAGGCUGUGACCUUUUCCUGCCAAAUCCCAGUCAUGACGACACGUCCUGGAAACUUGUCCACUUACUCAAAGGGUCGCUGAGGAGCAUCCAGCUGUAACCUUCAAGGUAAUAUUAUACUUACAUUUGAAAUCUUUCAAUGUCUUGGAUUCUACACUUCACAAAAAUGCUGAUAUAAUUACUGGGAUGUGUUAAGAGUAAAACAUGUAUUUACAUGUUUUGACUGUAUAACAUUUCAAUUUCCUGAUUAGUUUUACUGAUAACAUCUUCAUUUGUUAGUAUUGUCAAUUACAUUACAACAUGUAAAACUGUGAUUUUACUCAUGUCACUGAAGAUAACUGACACCUAACACCCACACUGAUUGUUAAUAACCUGCCACUAAAAUCACUAAGAAGCUUCCAUUUACUGCAGUAGCUUACUGAAAAUAUCACUGACAUUCAAUUAUUUUAUAAAAGACACUCCAACCACAUUAAAAUAUCAGCGUCUCAAAUUAAUAUUCAUUAUGAGCAAUUUGUGUUUCAUCUGUUUUUCAGCCAGUCCAUCCAUCCAUCCAUUUUCUAAAGAUGCCUUAUACCUACUUGGGAUGCUAUCAGGCACAAAUUGGAUCAUCCUUACAUUCAAUUCUCAAAGAUGUCUUAUACCUUCCUGGAAUGCUGUCAACUAUCCCAGACACAUUUGCCUGAAGCCUAGACAUACUCUGGAUCCUUCACCUUGUGUCCAGCGUCAACUGUUGACCAUAAUUCCAAAUCCCAAAACUUUACAUUUGGGAUGGAAAAUUGCUCUAUCAUCACACUCCAGGUAA
RNAcentral lists this long non-coding RNA (1107 nucleotides) under Oryzias javanicus (javanese ricefish). RNAcentral describes it as "lncRNA (ENSOJAG00000019620.1)". Lineage: Eukaryota; Metazoa; Chordata; Actinopteri; Beloniformes; Adrianichthyidae. The record is from RNAcentral.